Long non-coding RNA from Liolophura sinensis, 423 nucleotides. RefSeq lists it as uncharacterized. The transcript has 3 exons. The record is from RefSeq and is a predicted model, not a curated record. Lineage: Eukaryota; Metazoa; Mollusca; Polyplacophora; Chitonida; Chitonidae.
CAGGAAAGACGUGGAUUCGAGCAAUCAGCAGGUGCGCCUUCCUGUUUAUCCUGUCCCUGGAGGCUACAUAUUCACUUAAGUUUUUGUCGGGACCACAGUACUACGUAUCAUUGCCGGAAAACGCAGCCCUGGGGUUUGAGAUUACGGAGGUUAAUGCAACCGACCCCAGGAGCGGCGAAAACGGCACCACAUAUUCCUUGGAGCAGAACCCCGAUUCAGGUAGUUUUCGAAUAGAUGAACACAGUGGGCAAAUUUCGGUCGCCAAACAAUUAGAUAGAGAAGUGACGUCACGGUUCAACCUGACCGUGACGGCCGUGUGCUGGUGACGACAACACUACGUCAUCAGCACUGAUUGAGGUUAUUGUGUUGGACGUCAACGACAAUGACCCAAAGUUCAGCGAAAAAAGUGCCACCAUUACACUG